Corvus hawaiiensis (hawaiian crow) is the source of this 1815-nucleotide long non-coding RNA. RefSeq lists it as uncharacterized. The transcript has 5 exons. The record is from RefSeq and is a predicted model, not a curated record. Lineage: Eukaryota; Metazoa; Chordata; Aves; Passeriformes; Corvidae.
UCCGCCCGCCGCCCUCACGCGUCCGCCGGCACCCGGGCUGCGACCUGGGGCCGCCGAGAUACCCCGGCCCUGCUUCAGCGCAGCCGGCAGGGAGCGGCCCGGGGAGGGGGCGGAAAGAAGUCACUCCCCUUCUAAAAGGUGGUGUGCCCCUCCGGCUUUCGAGAGCUCCUCAGUGGCCACACUUGAACCCGGCUUACUGAUCGCUGCCCUUGCUUCACCAGAGAUGUCCGUGACUGGGUUUGAAUUGGCAAUACAAGCCUUUCAAUCGAAACAAGCAGCUCAGGAGUAUUUUAUCAGCACGCCAGAGCACUGUGUGUCUGUGCCGUCCCCCCCACCCCCUGCAGUAAACGCACAGGCUGUUGGGGCAUCUAUGUUCCUAUGAGCAUGGCUGAACCAUUACAUCAUCUGGGACUUUGUGACCUUGCAAAGUGGAUGUUCUAUUUGCAUGAGGAAGAUGCCAUUAAAUUCAAACCAAGAUACUAUAAGACAAGGUUAGAAGCAGCUUCUUCAACAUUCAGCAUAGCUGUACUUGAGAAUUACCUGGUUUUGCUUCCCAUGCUGUGACAUUUGAGACCUGCCCUCCAAGAGCCGGUGGAAGGCUGUGGACUUGUCAGCUCGACAUUUUAGAUGGUAUCACAGUCAUAUCAUCACCUCUGCCUUAGUGCUGGCUUGGAGGCAAAGAUACACCAAAUGAGUAUAUGGAGUGGCUGUUAAGGGCUCUGCUCACAAACCUCAUCAAAAGCACAUUAAUUUCAGAGGAAACAUGAUUUUAUAAUUAUUUCACUGCACUUCAGAUUAAUUGAAAAGGCAUUCUUCUUGUUUAAAGUCUUAACAAAAAUAUUAAAGAUCAUGGUGUAAGGAGGUACUAAAUGCAGACACAGAAUCUUUUGAAAGCAAUAACUUGAUUUCUGGCCACUAGUUGUACUACAUUACUACUUCAAUGAAGACACAGAAAUAAGUGGUUUAUCCCUUAAAUGAGUACAUCCACAGUGACUUUUGCUGUAAGAAUAAUACUAAGAAUGAUAUAGGAGUGAUCUUUUAAACAGUUUGUUUCUAAAGGAUGUUUAGUUGAAGGUCCCUCAGUUUAGUAGUUAUCUCUCAAUGGUAUUUCCUGUGAAUAGCCUUUCAUCCUUCUGUUCCAAAAAUAAUAAGUGCAAAAUAAGCUGGUGCUGAAGUCAGAAAACCUAGGAACCAAAUUCUGAAAUAGCUCUAGCUGUGACGCUAGGAAAUCAGCCAGUCUGGUUCCAACCCCUGGGAAAAUAGGAACUUCGGCCUGCCAAUAAAAAGAACAAGCACUCGUUUAUCUUCCUCGAGAGUACUGAUCUGCAUCUCGUAUAUGUCUAAUUGCAUCAAUAUACUGUCAAAGUGAAUCCCUUUGUGGUAGUCACCGAAACAGUGACAACCCACCAGUUGCUAAUGACGUUUUCAAAACUAUUCCAGAAGUGACAAGGCAAAUGUCUAAUAGCAAUUUUUAAAUCAGAUCAGAUUUUUGAACAGGUGGUUGUCAGGUCUUUUUCCAAUGUAGAUGCAAUUAAUGCCUUCUAUUCAUCAUGUACUAUUCUUUUAGUCAUCUUAGAAUAGCAUGAAGGUUGGUGAUUGUUUCUCAUAGAUCACUUGUUUGCUUGGAUUUGAGGAACUCAAGUUUCUUUUCUCCACUUGCUUUAAACCUUACAGUAGGAAAGACUUCAGUCAUAAGUUUGCUAUUUCUUAGUGCAUCUGGAAAAUGUAUUAUUGAAUUCAAAACCUAAAUUAAAAAUAAGGGAGUGGGGGAAACAUUCAGUUCAAGUGAAAUGCAAAUUUUUGUAUUUAAAAGAA